RNAcentral lists this ribosomal RNA (1678 nucleotides) under Ctenogobius saepepallens (dash goby). RNAcentral's name for it is "16S ribosomal RNA". The stretch from base 98 to 1598 matches the Rfam family "Bacterial large subunit ribosomal RNA". Lineage: Eukaryota; Metazoa; Chordata; Actinopteri; Gobiiformes; Gobiidae. The record is from RNAcentral.
CAAUUCCCAAAAGCUAGCCCCACCCCUAAAUACAACAACCAACAUUAAUAACCCCUUAAGCAUAACAACUUAUUAAACAAACCAUUUUACCCCCUUAGUAUGGGCGACAGAAAAGGAACAAGGCGCCAUAGAGAAAGUACCGCAAGGGAAUGCUGAAAGAGAAAUGAAACAACCCAGUAAAGAAACAAAAAGUAGAGACCUAACCUCGUACCUUUUGCAUCAUGAGCUAGUUAGCAACAUUCAAGCAAAGUGCCCUUUAGUUUGAACCCCCGAAACUCGGCGAGCUACUUCAAGACAGCCUAUUCAGGGCCAACCCGUCUCUGUUGCAAAAGAGUGGGAAGAUCUUUAAGUAGAGGUGACAGACCUACCGAGCCUAGUUAUAGCUGGUUGCCUACAAAAUGAAUAGGAGUUCAGCCCAUUAGAUUCUUAGUUCUAGCCUGCCUAAGGCCUCAGAGUGAUGUCAAGAAUUUUUUGGAGUUAUUCAAAAGGGGGACAGCCCGUUUGAAAACAGAUACAACUUUUAUAGAAGGCUAAAGAUCCAAAUACAGUAAAGCAAGAUACACUGGUGGGCCUAAAAGCAGCCAUCCAUAUAGAAAGCGUUAAAGCUCUAGUAUUCUUCUACUUAUAAUUUUGAUAUUACAAUCUUAAGCCCCUAAUUAUUCUAGUAGGCCUUUCCCUGCAAACAGGGAAGCGAUUCUGCUAGUAUGAGUAAUAAGAGGCCCAAGCCCCUCUCCUCGCACCUGUGUACAUCAGAACGAACAUGCACUGACAAAUAACACCCCCAACUAAAGAGGGCAUUGAGCCGUGCAAACUAAACAAGAAAAGAGCUCAAGGAAAAGUGUUAACCCCACACAGGAGUGCCAAAGGAAAGACCAAAGGAAAAAGAAGGAACUCGGCAAACACUGACCCCGCCUGUUUACCAAAAACAUCGCCUCUUGCUAUAAAAAUAUAAGAGGUCCCGCCUGCCCUGUGACUCACUAGUUUAACGGCCGCGGUAUUUUGACCGUGCGAAGGUAGCGUAAUCACUUGUCUUUUAAAUGAAGACCUGUAUGAAUGGCAUAACGAGGGUUAAGCUGUCUCCUUUUUCUAGUCAAUGAAAUUAAUCUUCCCGUGCAGAAGCGGGAAUACACCCAUAAGACGAGAAGACCCUAUGGAGCUUCAGACAAAAAGCAGCCCAGAGAGAGACAAAUGGAUAAACAAACUAACUCAGCUGGAGUCUGCUCUUAUGUCUUUGGUUGGGGCGACCGCGGAGGAGCAGAUAUCCUCCAUGAGGAACAGGGAUUUAGCCCUCAAAGCCAGAGCGACAGCUCCAGCUAACAGAAUUUCUGACCUAAAAGAUCCGGCAAGACCGAUCAACGGACCGAGUUACCCUAGGGAUAACAGCGCAAUCCCCUUCUAGAGCCCAUAUCGACAAGGGGGUUUACGACCUCGAUGUUGGAUCAGGACAUCCUAAUGGUGCAGCCGCUAUUAAGGGUUCGUUUGUUCAACGAUUAAAGUCCUACGUGAUCUGAGUUCAGACCGGAGAAAUCCAGGUCAGUUUCUAUCUAUGAAGUGCUCUUUUCUAGUACGAAAGGACCGAAAAGGGGAGGCCUAUGCUUGUGGCAUGCCUCACCCCUACCUAUUGUAGACAACUAAAAUAGGUAAAGGGGUGCACCCCCAUAGCAAAAGAAAAAGGCAA